This 539-nucleotide long non-coding RNA is filed under the name Gossypium barbadense (sea-island cotton). RNAcentral's name for it is "long non-coding RNA (GBAR_LNC010723)". Lineage: Eukaryota; Viridiplantae; Streptophyta; Magnoliopsida; Malvales; Malvaceae. The record is from RNAcentral.
CAAGGCUACUAUCUGUGGAAAGUUCACUCAAAGAGCUGAAGAGUGUGAUUUGGGAUUUAAAAGCAAAGGCAGAUUUGGUUGAUGACUUGGUGAACCUGGUCAUUAAAGCAGUAAUUGAUAAGGAUCUCAACCAUAUUGACCAGCCAACCAUGGCCUUGAUGGACGAAGCUACAAAGGCCUUCACUGAAGUGCCGAACGAGGCUCAAUCUCGCGGGAGCCGCCGCACUGCUGCCAGAAAUGACGGAAGGCAUCAGGGCAGUUCUAGGGACAUUGCAAGAGAGGAAAUAGGCAUCGAGGUGAGGCUACUAUCUGUGGAGAGUUCACUCGAAGAGCUGAAGAGAAUGAUUUGGGAUUUAAAAGCAAAGGCAAAACUGGUUGAUGACUUGGUGAACCUGGUCAUUAAAGCAGUAAUUGAUAAUGAUUUCAACAUUGAACAGGCAACCAUGGUCAUGAUAGACGAAGGUACAGGGGCCUUCACCGAAGCGCUGAACGAGAGCCGCCCUGUUGUUGGCGGAAGUGGUGGAGGUCAUGAGGACAGU